RNAcentral lists this ribosomal RNA (330 nucleotides) under uncultured bacterium. Its description in RNAcentral is "bacterial SSU rRNA". It matches the Rfam family "Bacterial small subunit ribosomal RNA", at positions 30 to 361 of the family's 1533-position model. The record is from RNAcentral.
AUUGAACGCUGGCGGCAUGCUUUACACAUGCAAGUCGAACGGCAGCGCGGGGGCAACCCUGGCGGCGAGUGGCGAACGGGUGAGUAAUGCAUCGGAACGUAUCCUGUAAUGGGGGAUAACGUAGCGAAAGUUACGCUAAUACCGCAUACGCUCGAGAGAGGAAAGUGGGGAUCGCAAAGACCUCACGUUAUAGGAGCGGCCGAUGUCCGAUUAGCUAGUUGGUGGGGUAAAGCCUAACCAAGGCGACGAUCGGUAGCUGGUCUGAGAGGAUGAUCAGCCACACUGGGACUGAGACACGGCCCAGACUCCUACGGAGGCAGCAGUGGGGAA